GAGAGCAACACUUUUGUUCAAGGGAGUGUGUGAUUGUGUGUGUAUUUGUGUGUGAGGGAGAGGGGUACUAUCCAAAGGCGCAGAAACGCAGCAACAGGUGGCUGCCAGGAGGUAACUGAAACAAUCUACAAGCCUACUUGGCUGGGACACUCCCAUCCAUUUUCCCUGUGACUGCGAUCAACCUCCAACAACCACUUACAACCGAAAACCAGGCCCACCUGCUAGGACCCAUCUGCAGUGACACCCAUUUAAUGAGUCAAUGAUACAUCUGUUGGGAGUCCUGACUAUAGAUGUGCUGCACAUACAUGUGCAACUGGAUGCUGUGUACCUACUCAGUGAUCUCCUGACUUUUGAUCUUCUGACCCCUUUGUGAUGUUAGCCCACAUAGCCACCAUUACCGGCUGUCUACUUUUCUUGGAAAGGAGUUGAUAAGAAGAGGCAAUUUACCCUCAUCCUCCUUCUUUUUGCUUGAUAAACAACACGAAAGCAAGUUUCCAUGACCUCAUUGACUGAUUGGGGCUCUUGCUUCUUUAUCACUGAGUGUUGUUGCUGCUACAUCUAUCCUGAUGCAUAUUUUUUUUUCUUUGAAACUGGGCUAUAAUGACAGAUAAUCACCCAGGAAUUUAGCACAGAGAGGACAAAUAGUAGGCUGGAAGAAAACUCAGGGACAUAAAACAACUGGUCAAUAGGUGAUCUGUGAUUAUAAGUAAUGACUUUGUAACUACACACAGAUACUGUGGCGAGAGAAGCUGCUAAAUUAUUGGAUCAGCCACACAAUAGAUAUCGCACAAAACUACACAUCAUUUUAAAGCCAUCAUUAUCUGUUGAUUAUGGAGUAGGAGCAUGUUGAUUACUGAGCAAGAACUAGGAGGAAUUUGUGAGUGUGUUAUAAAGAUGCAAUCUAUAGUUACCAUUGGGUGAGGUCAC
Long non-coding RNA from Oreochromis aureus, 927 nucleotides. RefSeq lists it as uncharacterized. Lineage: Eukaryota; Metazoa; Chordata; Actinopteri; Cichliformes; Cichlidae. The record is from RefSeq and is a predicted model, not a curated record. The transcript has 3 exons.